UGUUUUUGUAGUUGAAUACAACAUUAGUUUUUCAGGCUAAGGGUUUCGGUUAAAAUCCGGAUAAAAAUAA
Molecule: transfer RNA, 70 nt
Filed under: Onychodactylus zhaoermii
Lineage: Eukaryota; Metazoa; Chordata; Amphibia; Caudata; Hynobiidae
Description: tRNA-Glu
Rfam family: tRNA
About the family: Transfer RNA (tRNA) molecules are approximately 80 nucleotides in length.
Source: RNAcentral